RNAcentral lists this non-coding RNA (30 nucleotides) under Homo sapiens (human). Lineage: Eukaryota; Metazoa; Chordata; Mammalia; Primates; Hominidae. The record is from RNAcentral.
UGAAAUGAUGAAUGUGUGUUGUUGUAAGUG